CCUACGGGAGGCAGCAGUGGGGAAUUUUGGACAAUGGGCGCAAGCCUGAUCCAGCAAUGCCGCGUGAGUGAAGAAGGCCUUCGGGUUGUAAAGCUCUUUUGUCAGGGAAGAAACGGUGGAGGCUAAUAUCCUUUGCUAAUGACGGUACCUGAAGAAUAAGCACCGGCUAACUACGUGCCAGCAGCCGCGGUAAUACGUAGGGUGCAAGCGUUAAUCGGAAUUACUGGGCGUAAAGCGUGCGCAGGCGGUUUUGUAAGUUUGUCGUGAAAUCCCCGGGCUCAACCUGGGAAUGGCGAUGAAGACUGCAAGGCUAGAAUCUGGCAGAGGGGGGUAGAAUUCCACGUGUAGCAGUGAAAUGCGUAGAGAUGUGGAGGAACACCGAUGGCGAAGGCAGCCCCCUGGGUCAAGAUUGACGCUCAUGCACGAAAGCGUGGGGAGCAAACAGGAUUAGAUACCCUGGUAGUCCACGCCCUAAACGAUGUCUACUAGUUGUCGGGUUUUAAUUAACUUGGUAACGCAGCUAACGCGUGAAGUAGACCGCCUGGGGAGUACGGUCGCAAGNUUAAAACUCAAAUGAAAUUGACCGGNNGAGAGAGCGAGACGACGACGAGGGAGGAGG
RNAcentral lists this ribosomal RNA (619 nucleotides) under uncultured bacterium. Its description in RNAcentral is "bacterial SSU rRNA". It matches the Rfam family "Bacterial small subunit ribosomal RNA", at positions 338 to 951 of the family's 1533-position model. The record is from RNAcentral.